Spinacia oleracea (spinach) is the source of this 1281-nucleotide long non-coding RNA. RefSeq lists it as uncharacterized. The record is from RefSeq and is a predicted model, not a curated record. The transcript is spliced from 3 exons. NCBI's taxonomy places the organism in Eukaryota, Viridiplantae, Streptophyta, Magnoliopsida, Caryophyllales, Amaranthaceae.
UAUAUAUAUAAAAAAAAAACAAAUCUCAUUUCGUCAUCCACUAAUAUUGAAAUUUGGAAGUGCCAAUUUGUGAUAAUGUAGCAGAACCAAAAUUCCCAAUUUCAAAACCCUAGGAGAGAGGGGACCGGAUUCCGAAGCUCGAGAUGAUGUUCGGUGUUUCAUGGACUGAGGGCGAACACAGGAUGUAGCCAUGUAGGACUGCUAAUAAGUGUUCGGAAGAGCUGAGCUAUCGGCCACGUUUGUAGUGGUUAUCACUAUACAUGAGCUGGAUAAGGAGACUCAAGACUCAAGAGAGACUUAAGCCAAUCAGUACUGCGUUUGAUUUCGGUAACAUUGGAAGUACAGAGGAAGUAGGAUCCCCCUUGGCGAUUGAGAAACUUGAUGGCGUAACCUUGCGCAAUAAAGAACCAUACCCAGUCCGAUUAUGGUAUUCAUUGAAUAGAGCGCGUAAUGUUGGACUGAGCUAGGAAAGAGGAGUGACCCUAAAGAUAUCAAUGCCAAUAUCCCAAAAAAAAUCAUCAUUUCUUUUGGAGAACAUUUAGUAGUUGUUGGUGGUGAUGGUUUUAAGGAAGCAGCAAAAGCACAACAAUAGAACAGAAGCCAAAUAGUAGAGAGUAGUAUUGUGAGAGGAUUGGUGGAAAAGGGGGAAAUGGUAUGGUCUCCUUGACUCUUCAACUGAAGCAAGGUAAGAAAGAAUGUGGCUAUGAAGAUGAAGAUAGUAUUCAAGGCUUUUGGAUUCAGUGAUUCCAGCGACUGGAUUGUAUUUGUAUUUGUAGGUGGUGCUUGAUGAAUGUUGUUGACAGACAUGUAGAUGUUGCAAUUUACUAUAAUUUGCUUAAAUUUUGGUUGGUUUGAAGCACCAGAGCUCGAGUUGGAAAAUUGUUAAUGGAGGAUGAUUUUUGGUUGUAGGACUUCUUCAGACCGAGGAAUUGGUUUUAUAGGAAUUGGUUUUACAUGUACAAAAUUGACAUAUUAAUGCAUGUCAGCAACGGCCACAAGUCCACAACAAAGGAACCUCCUACGAAAUGUAUCCAAUAUCCAUUUUGGAUACUUGUCCAUAUCCAAUGGAGCCAAAUAUCCCAUAGCCAUUUCGCUUCCUUUUCAUGAAGUAGAAGAUGGUCGUCCCGUUGUCGUCCCGCUAUUGCUUUCGGGUCAAUUGGAAAUAACCUCUCUGCAAUUGCAGGGGUAAGGUUGCUUAUGUCUGAUCCCCCUUAUCCCGCUUCUUGCGGGAGCCUCUUUAAGGCAAUGGAGUAAUGAUAUAAUAUAAAGAAGUUUACAACU